RNAcentral lists this unclassified non-coding RNA (462 nucleotides) under Malus delavayi. Its description in RNAcentral is "external transcribed spacer". Lineage: Eukaryota; Viridiplantae; Streptophyta; Magnoliopsida; Rosales; Rosaceae. The record is from RNAcentral.
GGAGCUGGGUUUAGCUAACGUCACGGCGUAUGAGUGGUAAUUGGGUUGUAUUCGACGGCAGGCUCCGUGCUUCGGCAUCGAACUGUCGGCUCGUACCCCGCUUCAUCGACGCAUCAAGAUUUGUCUUGCGCGCAAGACGGGUUUCUGUUUUGGCUACCUAUUGCGACGGAAUGUUGCCUCUCGUCGUCCCUUUCCUCCUCUUGCUGGCCUUGCCGGUGGGAGGACGACAUCGUAGCGGUGCUCGUGUCCCGGACGAGCCGCACUCGUUGCGGUGCAGUUUCGGUCCUCGAGCUUCCGGUCGACAUCUCGGAUGCGGUACACUGAAGGGGCGGUGGGUCUUUACGGCCUCCGAUCGUCCAAUCGAAGCCUUGUCGCUUGAUGCGUACGACUGUCGUGCCCGUCGCGAGCCGUCGGCCGUCAAGGUCGUCGGUCUCGCUCGGCGCCGGCGUCGAAGAGGAAUGC